GACGAACGCUGGCGGCGUGCCUAAUACAUGCAAGUUGAGCGGAUGAAGGAGGAGCUUGCUCCUCCUGAUUCAGCGGCGGACGGGUGAGUAACACGUGGGCAACCUGCCCUGUAGAUUGGGAUAACUCCGGGAAACCGGGGCUAAUACCGAAUAAUCCACCGGACCUCAUGGUCUGGUGUUGAAGGACGGCAUCUCGCUGUCACUACAGGAUGGGCCCGCGGCGCAUUAGCUAGUUGGUGAGGUAACGGCUCACCAAGGCCACGAUGCGUAGCCGACCUGAGAGGGUGAUCGGCCACACUGGGACUGAGACACGGCCCAGACUCCUACGGGAGGCAGCAGUAGGGAAUCUUCCACAAUGGACGAAAGUCUGAUGGAGCAACGCCGCGUGAGUGAAGAAGGUUCUCGGAUCGUAAAACUCUGUUGUGAGGGAAGAACAAGUACCGGAGUAACUGCCGGUACCUUGACGGUACCUCAUUAGAAAGCCACGGCUAACUACGUGCCAGCAGCCGCGGUAA
Molecule: ribosomal RNA, 515 nt
Filed under: uncultured bacterium
Lineage: Bacteria
Description: partial 16S ribosomal RNA
Rfam family: Bacterial small subunit ribosomal RNA
Source: RNAcentral